This is a long non-coding RNA of Stomoxys calcitrans (stable fly), 1225 nucleotides long. RefSeq lists it as uncharacterized. The record is from RefSeq and is a predicted model, not a curated record. Lineage: Eukaryota; Metazoa; Arthropoda; Insecta; Diptera; Muscidae. The transcript has 2 exons.
UUUGUAAUAAAGGAUUUACAAGUUUUUCAUAUGCUUUUUUCUUUGAUUUGAGAUGGGUUGCUUCACGUUUUGUCUCCAUGUUCCUUUGUAUUUUUUGUGCAAAAUCUGUACAACCUGUAAAGUGAUGUCAUGAAAUAUUUGCAAGUAAAAUGAAUUGUUAAUGUGCACCAUGUGCACCUAAUCUUUAUUUUGGGGCUGUAAUUCAAAACACGGCGCUGAUGAGUGCGCAUGUGUGUUCUCUGUUCUAUGAUUUCGAUAUGAAAACAAUUUUUUUGUUCAUUUUCAGCUAUUUUUUGUUGUUUUUUUUUUUUUGAGACAAGUUACAGCCGCCGCUGACGAUUUUUUUCUUUUUUUGCGUUGAUCUAAUGCACCGACAUUUCGAUUUGGCGGUCACAAAUGCCAACCAAUCUUACGUAUGCGGAAUUGAUUUUCAGCGCAACAUUACGGAGGGGCGAUCGCUCACAUUUGGUGGCCAGCAAGCCAGCAAACCAGUCGAACGGACUGCAACCGCUAGUUCAUAUAUCCAUCCAUCCAUCCAUCCAAAUAGCCAAGAGUGUGUCCGUCCGUUCGUCCGUCAAUCGCCGUGAAUUGAGCAGAGCUUUGCUGGCGGUAAAUGGCGGUAGUAUUCACAUCUAUGAAUGCCUCCAGCCACUUUGGCCAUAUUUGGAAUGGGAUGUCGGAUGAUGGUAGUGGUUAGACGAAUGGAGCAGCAGAUCGGCUUUAUUUGUGUGCAAGUGGCUGUGUGUGUGUGUGUGUGUGGCAUUGUAAGAGGUUGAGUUAAUUUAAACAAAUUUUAUAUUUAAUUCUUUUUUCUGGCGAAACAACACCAAGAAAAAUUACUUUGGCAUAGCAAUAUUUAGAGAGACACCCCGUCUAGAGAGACGGGGCGGGCGGCAGCAAGUUCAUAUAAAAAAUCAAUUGCUUUCAAUUUCAAGGUUUUUUCGGUUGGAAUUUUAUUUCAAUUUGUCGCCGUUGCUGUUGUUUUCUUUUCUGUGUCUGUGGCCGUUUUUGCUAUCGAGAGAAAAAAGUGGCAUUUCAUGUUUUGUUUGGUUUGGCUUGUUUGUUUUAUUGAAAAUGACAGCGUUUUUUUCCAGCGAACCCAAAAAAAAAAAACGUAGUAAGCUUUAGUGUCGUUGGCGUGUUUAGAGGGGUUGUGGUUGAUUGAGUUUUUAGACAACACCAGAACAAAAUGGCAGCAGAUAUUAAAAAAUAGCAAAAAAAAAAA